RNAcentral lists this ribosomal RNA (73 nucleotides) under Streptomyces sp. WM6372. RNAcentral describes it as "partial 23S ribosomal RNA". RNAcentral also lists the same sequence under 1 other name. The record is from RNAcentral. Lineage: Bacteria; Bacillati; Actinomycetota; Actinomycetes; Kitasatosporales; Streptomycetaceae.
UAGGCCAGAUGUGGAAGCCCGGUAACGGGUGGAGCUGACUGGUACUAAUAGGCCGAGGGCUUGUCCUCAGUUG